RNAcentral lists this ribosomal RNA (498 nucleotides) under uncultured bacterium. Its description in RNAcentral is "partial 16S ribosomal RNA". It matches the Rfam family "Bacterial small subunit ribosomal RNA", at positions 30 to 523 of the family's 1533-position model. The record is from RNAcentral.
AUUGAACGCUGGCGGCAUGCCUUACACAUGCAAGUCGAACGGUAACGGGCCUUCGGGUGCCGACGAGUGGCGAACGGGUGAGUAAUGCAUCGGAACGUACCUUUCAGUGGGGGAUAACGUAGCGAAAGUUACGCUAAUACCGCAUAUUCUGUGAGCAGGAAAGCAGGGGAUCGCAAGACCUUGCGCUGAUUGAGCGGCCGAUGUCAGAUUAGCUAGUUGGUGAGGUAAAGGCUCACCAAGGCGACGAUCUGUAGCGGGUCUGAGAGGAUGAUACGCCACACUGGAACUGAGACACUGGCCAAGCUCCUACGGGAGGCAGCCGUGGGGAAUUUUGGACAAUGGGGGCAACCCUGAUCCAGCCAUGCCGCGUGAGUGAAGAAGGCCUUCGGGUUGUAAAGCUCUUUCGGUCGGGAAGAAAUCGCAUGGGUUAAUACCCUGUGCGGAUGACGGUACCGGCAUAAGAAGCACCGGCUAACUACGUGCCAGCCGCCGCAGUAA